GCCCUUCAAGAGGGUGCUCAUGAACUGCUCAUAGGUGGCGGCUGCACAGAGGCCUUACUCAAACACAAGAGCCCAAAUGGAGCAAACUUGCAUCUAUGAGCAGCUCAUGACAACCUUCUGAAGGGC
This 126-nucleotide microRNA precursor is filed under the name Picea abies (Norway spruce). RNAcentral's name for it is "miR3693 stem-loop (pab-MIR3693)". Lineage: Eukaryota; Viridiplantae; Streptophyta; Pinopsida; Pinales; Pinaceae. The record is from miRBase by way of RNAcentral.